UUUGAUUUUGGUGCGUAUAUAUAUAAUAUACAAACAAGAGGAUCUUACAAACAAAGUUACUCAUAAAAUCCAAGAGAGCGUGAUGUUAAAAAACAAGAAAAGAAGAAGCAAAUGAAGUUUAAAAAUUCACUAGUUGAAAGGCUUUCCAAUCCUCGGCAGGAAGCAUGGGAAUGGGUUGACACCUAAACCCCCAGCACUGGCUUAUUAUAUUUAGUCUUGAAAACAACAAAAACAAUGACCUCCUUCCAAUUCCCAUUUGCCUAAUCUUUUUAAAAAAUACUCAUUUACUACACAUUAUAUACUUAAAAUCUACGCUUUGAAGUUGAAUAAGCAUUUUAUAACUUGCAUUAUUGGGGCAAGCAUGAGCUAAUUGGAGGGCUAUUGAC
Molecule: long non-coding RNA, 386 nt
Filed under: Prunus persica (peach)
Lineage: Eukaryota; Viridiplantae; Streptophyta; Magnoliopsida; Rosales; Rosaceae
Description: long non-coding RNA (PPER_LNC006354)
Source: RNAcentral